Molecule: ribosomal RNA, 507 nt
Filed under: uncultured bacterium
Lineage: Bacteria
Description: partial 16S ribosomal RNA
Rfam family: Bacterial small subunit ribosomal RNA
Source: RNAcentral
GACGAACGCUGGCGGCGUGCCUAAUACAUGCAAGUCGAACGCUUCUUUCCUCCCGAGUGCUUGCACUCAAUUGGAAAGAGGAGUGGCGGACGGGUGAGUAACACGUGGGUAACCUACCCAUCAGAGGGGAUAACACUUGGAAACAGGUGCUAAUACCGCAUAACAGUUUAUGCCGCAUGGCAUAAGAGUGAAAGGCGCUUUCGGGUGUCGCUGAUGGAUGGACCCGCGGUGCAUUAGCUAGUUGGUGAGGUAACGGCUCACCAAGGCCACGAUGCAUAGCCGACCUGAGAGGGUGAUCGGCCACACUGGGACUGAGACACGGCCCAGACUCCUACGGGAGGCAGCAGUAGGGAAUCUUCGGCAAUGGACGAAAGUCUGACCGAGCAACGCCGCGUGAGUGAAGAAGGUUUUCGGAUCGUAAAACUCUGUUGUUAGAGAAGAACAAGGACGUUAGUAACUGAACGUCCCCUGACGGUAUCUAACCAGAAAGCCACGGCUAACUACGUG